Molecule: non-coding RNA, 834 nt
Organism: Schizosaccharomyces pombe (fission yeast)
Lineage: Eukaryota; Fungi; Ascomycota; Schizosaccharomycetes; Schizosaccharomycetales; Schizosaccharomycetaceae
Source: the annotation of a GenBank genome assembly
UACCCAUAAAUAAAGCGUCCCUCAAAUCUUCACCCUUUUUACACGUUCCAUGUCAGUUACACUGGUCUCAGAUUUUACGUUUUCUCCAUCCAACAUUCUAUUUGUCCGCAAUUCAUGCUUAGCGUGCUUGCUAUUUGAUUUUGAAACAUGUUUUCGUUUUUUAUCGCCGUUUUUAUUUGAUUUCUUUGAAGCCUAAGUAUGUUAGUCAUUGCCGAAUUUUGAAAAUUCUGUGAAGUACCUUAUUUAAACUGUGAGUCUUUUCAGAUAAUGCGAGAUCAAGAAGGCGUUUACUUAAUGUUUUUAAUUGCUCAGCAUUCGGGUUGAUGGGAAUAACGUCUUUUUCCUCGUAGACCUGAUUACACUGAUGUUGUGUUAGCAAUAACUCAAGGGUUGGAAAUGCUUUUCUUAGCUAUCGAUAGACUUACUUGAAAACACAUUUUCUCGCCAAACUGCUUCAAGGCAGAGUAUUCAAAUACAUGACCGCAAGGCACUAUGUAGGCGAAUUGGUAUGUAUCAGACAUUACAUGUCUUGUAAUCGGGCAUAACCAUAGCACUUUACCGGAAUCAUCCAGCUCAACUUGAAGUUGUACCACGUCUUUCAGUGAUUUUAUAUGAGAAGGGCUUUUCGGAACACUUGACCUAUCUAACAGCAUUUGUAAAAUGCUUGCUUUGUUAUACAGUUUUCCUAAACCACACGAUACAAUUGGAGGGUAUAAGGGCUCAUCCGUAAUGGCACACUGAGAAAAUUGAGAAGAUUUUACAGAACGUUUAAAGUCUAUAUCAAGCGGCGGUACUUUGCCAGGCUCUUUCACUAAUUCGUUUCGGGUUGGUAAU